AAAUGAAUUGACGGGAGCCCGCACAAGCAGUGGAGUAUGUGGUUUAAUUCGACGCAACGCGAAGAACCUUACCAGGUCUUGACAUCCAAGGAAUCCGGCGUAAUGGCUGGAGUGCCCUUCGGGGAACCUUGAGACAGGUGGUGCAUGGUUGUCGUCAGCUCGUGUCGUGAGAUGUUGGGUUAAGUCCCGCAACGAGCGCAACCCUUACGGUUAGUUGCUACGAAAGAGCACUCUAGCCGGACUGCCGUUGACAAAACGGAGGAAGGUGGGGAUGACGUCAAAUCAUCAUGCCCCUUACGACCUGGGCUACACACGUACUACAAUGGCGCAAACAAAGGGGAGCGAAGCCGCGAGGUGGAGCAAAUCUCAAAAAAGGCGCCCCAGUUCGGAUUGCAGGCUGCAACUCGCCUGCAUGAAGUCGGAAUUGCUAGUAAUCGCGGAUCAGCAUGCCGCGGUGAAUACGUUCCCGGGCUUUGUACACACCGCCCGU
This 490-nucleotide ribosomal RNA is filed under the name uncultured bacterium. RNAcentral's name for it is "bacterial SSU rRNA". It matches the Rfam family "Bacterial small subunit ribosomal RNA", at positions 903 to 1397 of the family's 1533-position model. The record is from RNAcentral.